CGGCAACAGCUCAAAUUUGAAAUCUGGCCCUCUCAGGGUCCGAGUUGUAAUUUGCAGAGGUGGCUUCGGAGCCGCACCGGCCUAAGUUCCUUGGAACAGGACGUCACAGAGGGUGAGAAUCCCGUACGUGGCUAGGUGCCUAUCCAUGUGUAGCCCCUUCGAC
RNAcentral lists this ribosomal RNA (163 nucleotides) under Karschia sp. (in: ascomycete fungi). Its description in RNAcentral is "Karschia sp. (in: Fungi) partial large subunit ribosomal RNA". It matches the Rfam family "Eukaryotic large subunit ribosomal RNA", at positions 99 to 261 of the family's 3401-position model. The record is from RNAcentral. Lineage: Eukaryota; Fungi; Ascomycota; Dothideomycetes; Asterinales; Stictographaceae.